AAAGACACCACACACACGACCCUUUCUUUCCCCUUCCCCAACUCCAGCACCUUAAAGAAAACAGCCGUCUUAAACCUCUUGAUUAGCAAACUACCUUCUUGCCUCGCUAAUUGUUUCAUUUAGCUACAGCGAACCACCACGAGGGAGGAAAUCCUUGGCAUUUGUUAGGAGGACUCAGCUGCACAAUCAUUCUCUGGCCUCGCAGUAGCGGUAGCUACUCCAUUUUGUUGGGAGACAUUUUUUUUUUAAUUAUAUAUAUAAUAUCACCGGUUUUUAAAAGCACAAGAGGAUUUCUUGGCUUCUCAAUGCUUCAGGUCUCAACAGGAGCAUGAGAAUUUCUCUGCAGAGUGGAGAAAUGCUUCUAGUUGGAUUUGAGGUUGAUUAUGUGACCGCUCUGGCAAAAGCACUUUGACAACUGUAAGGAGAGAGGGCAUGCGCACACAGGGAACUGUGGGGGCUGAAGUCCUUCACAAGGUACUCUGCCUGACUUCAGCACGUUCAACCAGGAAAGGAGGAAGCCUCGAAGAGAUUCCAAGGGGAAGAGGUUGUUCCCGGAUUACAUUAUAUCCUCCUAACCAAUCUAAAUCAUGAAUUGUUGAAAUGAAAGGCAGAAAGAUAAACUGGUUUAUCAACUUGAUUUAGGAAGUCAGGUUAAAAGAGAAACUGAAUUGUAGGACUCAAAAUAAAUAUACCCAGCAGAGCUACCUUAAAUGGUAUUAGAAUACUAAUGACUGGGUAGCCAGCAAUAGGCACCCUACCAGAGUAAAAGAGACUGGGGUGAGCAGGAAUAAACAAGGGUGCGGGGGAUGACUGGGGAAUGAUGAACACUCAAAAUCUAAUCAUACUUAAAGGAAACACUUUUAAUAUAGAAUGAAAAGUACCUUAAUACAAAAUGUGAUAUUAACCUCAGAGGUCAGGUAAAAAAAGAUUUUCAUCACAAAUUUUUGAUAUCCACCAACGUUUCUUUGUAUUUGAAUUUUCAAGGGAGGCACCAAUCACUUACUUAUUUUAAGAUUUUUACAUAAUAUGCUCUAAAUCAACUCACCUCCUUAUUUUUACUUGUCAAAAUGAAAGCUUACUUUGCAUUAUUCAUACAAUGAUUAAUCAAAUAAAAUUCAGUAUUUUCAUACUAAAAUAAUG
Long non-coding RNA from Sciurus carolinensis (gray squirrel), 1140 nucleotides. RefSeq lists it as uncharacterized. Lineage: Eukaryota; Metazoa; Chordata; Mammalia; Rodentia; Sciuridae. The transcript is spliced from 3 exons. The record is from RefSeq and is a predicted model, not a curated record.